ACAUUGUCUUUCAAAGUUUGGUAGUGAUAAUCAUAGCUGUUCUUGAAAUUGCCCAACGGACGCAACACAACGCCUGGAAACUCGGUGUCCAUGGCAACGUAGGGGUAGUCAUCAACUAUUUCACGAAUCAAAGCGAAUUCUUCCUCAAGGUUAUCGUUCCAGACCUCACGGAUUUGGAUUGAAUCGCCCUUCGGCAGCAAAGACAUCACUUGAAAAACCAAAAAAAAAAAAAAACCUAAUUUCUUUUUCAACCAAUAACAACCCAAGAAAAAGAUUCCUAGAUUACCACGAAAACCCCAAACAAGGAAUCAAUUUGCAAAACACCCAGAUUGAAUUUCACCAGAUCUGCAAGAAAUUACAAUAAAUUUAAGGCUAUAAAUCCUCCAAACCAAAUAAACGCCAGCUUCACCCAGAAAUGAAUUUCCAAGAACUAAACGAUAAAUUAAAUAAAUGAUUAUAUAGAUGAAGAAAUGAAGAAGGAACUUACCUUAAAGAAGUGGAAAAAUGGAUGGUUUUUUUGAGAGAAAUAAAUAAACAAGGCAGAUUCUAGAGAGAGAAAGAUCAAGAAAAUUUCUGAAAGGUACUUCCUUUCUCUCUGUAGGGUUUCCUGUUUGCAGUAUGAUUGGAGGCCCUAAAAUGGGUUUUUCCUUUUUCUUAAGAACUGGUCGUUGACUUGUCGUGGUUACUGCUUUAUGGUUUCUUCCUUUUUAUCUGUUUUGUUUGUUUCUCGGGAAAAAGAGAGGUUUCACUGUUCUGUUUCUCCAACGAGUUUAUAUCCGAUACAGUAACACUGUAUAACUUGUAUAUACAUUAUAGAAGUAAUUUUAAAAUUUUUAAUAUCAAUAAAAUUUCGUAUCACAUGAUACCUCUUCUUCUUUAUGUAACUUCAAUUAAAACAUCUAAUUUAGGUCAUAAUUUACAUGAGAUUUCCAAAAUUAUUAAUUAAAGAUAGGUCAUGAAAUAUAAAAGAAUUACAUAAGGUUGUGCAAAAAUGAAAUAUGAACUCAAAACUCAACACUGCUAUUAUCAGAAUUGCAAAUUCAUAUAGUCACCUUAAUAAUCUUGCAAAAUUUAUAACCGGAUAAUUAAAAAAAUAAAAUUUCAUUUCAAAAAACAAUGAAAGAGCUAUUGAAUUAAUUGAGAAAGUGAAUACAAAAGAAAUUCAUAUAUAAAUUGUAGGGCGUAUCCAUAGAAAAUGUUAAAUUGAUCCAAAAAAGUAGAGUUCUUGUACAAUCCAUUGAAGCGAAAAUUAAUAAUCUCUCCCUUAGAGUUUGAAUUAUCUGUGAGCUAUUAGGAAUCCAAAUUUUGACAAUUAUAAUUAAAGAGUUAAUAAAAACUAUACACUAUCAAUAAAAUCAUAUUUAAAAUUAUAUAUAUAUAUAUAUAUAUAUAUAUAUAUAUAUAUAUAAUGGAAAGAGAUGGGAAUGGUAUGGAGUCGAUUGCCUUUCCCUUGCUUACUUCCUUUUGAACACGAAAAGAAAAAUCUAAAAUAAACGUAAAUUUUUCAUAUACGAAUUUAUCAAUAUUUAUUUCAGUUAUUACUCCAAUUCUUUCAAUAUUAUGAUCAAUUCCUUUAUUAAAUUUUCAAAAAAUUUAUCAAUUCAUUUAUUUUUAUUACAUAGUAUGAUCAUGAGUCAACUUUAGUAGGUAUUUCCUUUUUAAAAUUUUUAUUAUUCAAUUAAUAAAAUAAAAUUUUAUGUGUUAAUAUUUUAAAAUUAAUUUAAGAUAAACUUAAAUAAAAUAUAUUAUUUGUUAAAAAAAAUCUAAUCCAUCCGAAUUGAUUUUGGAUUUAAACAAUUAUAUUCCAACUCAACUCGAUGUGCAUCAAAUUUGCAAAUUAUGAUGAAUAACGUGAUCCAUUAAAGAACUUAAAAUUUUAUAUUAAUAAUAACCACUUAUAUUACCAACAAGUUUUACUUAUAUGCAACAUUAAUAUUCUUUAUAUACUUACAUUUAUUAAGAACACAACUUAUAUCCAUAAGUAUUUGGUAGUCACGAUAAAAGAAUUUGAUUGCAAUUUAAUUAUGUAAACUUUUUCACAAUAUCCACGAAAAAAUUAAAUUUGAAAAAAAAGGAGCUUUAAACGAGUGUAAAUUCUAUCUCCUUGCUAAUCAAAAGUUGCUUCACACUUAUAAAAGUUGUUCAUUUUUUCUUACUGAAUCAUGAAAUUUCAUUAAAAGGAACAAAAAAAAAAAUCAUUAUUACAUAAAAAACAUGACCAACAUUAUAAAAAUAAGUAAAAACCAACAAACCGAAAAUAAAGAUAAGAAAGUGGAAACCAGCUCCAACUGGAACUUCACAUGAAAAAGCAUCCUGCGCAUACAAGAAAAAACCAAGUCUGGCCAUGGCAUGUGCAUGAUUGAAUAUCUCUUCUUUUGUGAGAGGAUGAGGACCAUCAUCACUCAUCAUUACAUCAUACAACUAAUAUCAUACAUUAGGUCAAUGGAGCCAUACCAUGACAGAGAAUAGUGACGACAAUUCAGAACAUGUGACAAGAUUUAUGAGUUUAUUUUACUUUUGAAAUGUUCUUGAAAGCUUGACUUAAUAACUAAAACAUGAAGAUAGUUAAAAGAUCAUCCAUUUAUCCUUUCAUUAAAGUAUAUGUGCUUCACCUUUUUCCUUUUUCCCUAAAAAACACUGACACAUUGUUAAGUGCGACUUAACUCCACUGUCUCAUUAAACCAAAACAUCGUUUCACUACCGAGCUCUCAUGCUAUCCCAUGAUAAAUGCGUUAUGACAUAAUGGACGUGUUCUUAUCAUUAACACGUUCUUUCUUUCGAUGAUAUCCAAUAAGCACAUUAUAUAUAUAUAUAUAUAUGAGCUUGGCAAUUAAAGAUGCAAAUCAAAAUUUCACCGAAUUCAUUAAUCUCUCUAAAAGCUCUCCCUCAACUCUUCCCAAAUACUCUCUCUCAACUCUUUCCUAUUCUAUUCUCCUUCAUGCUUCGCCGCCAAGCUUUCACUAUCUUUUCCCUAACUUUUAUCUCUCACCUCCUGCCAUAAAGCACUUGAAACUUCAAGAAUUGCCUUAAUCUUCCUCUCCGUCGCCUCUAGUGCAUCUCACUUUACUUGUUGUAACACUUUCUCUUCCCUUAUCAAAGAAACCCAUACAUCCAAGCAUUAUAAAACCUAGUAUACCUACUUAAGUUUCCUAAUUUCUUAAUUUUGCAGCCAAUCAAGAAAUUUUGUCCUAAACCCCUUUGUUGCCCAGGUCUGUGCAAAGUUCAGGCAUUUCAUGAAAGGCAAGAAGAGUGCCUCAAGGUCCUCAACAGAAUGGAGCAUCUUAGAAUACAUAAAAACUCAAAAAUAUCCCAGGCAUUAAGCUUGUACUAGAAAAGUAGAAAGCUGUAAUGGUAAAAGCACAAAAAAAAAAAAAAAAAAGUAAAAUGGUGAAUGGAGUUAGAAAUAACUAAAAAGCAUCAAAUAAGGGGAACCUGAAUCAAUAAUAAAUAACUCAGCAACUAGCUUACUCAAGACACAAAGAUACACAGCACUCUAACAAGCCAAGGGAAGUAGAACAUUCCUUGUUGCUAGAUAAUAUACAGACACAGAGAUCAAUACAUAGAUACAGAUACAGAGAUUGAUAAAUACAGGGUGGAAGGGCUUUAUAAACAAUCCAUGCUUGUUGACAACAACGUUUCUCAUCCUAUUAUCCUCUGUAUAAUGAAUAAACAAACACCUAAAUAUGAAUUGCUCAAGAUGAUGCCAAGGGUUAAAAAAUGGCAGAGAAAUUUGAAUUUGAGCCUUCAAAAAUCAAGAGUGUGAUAUCAUAUGGUACCUAGGUGCCAACAUGCUUCUGCGUGCAUGUAUCUGUAUACUAUCUAGCAACAGCCUAGUUAAUUACUAAAAGGACAAGCUGGAGUGACAAAACCACCUAUUUAGGCAAUGAGCCUGUUUGGAGGAUGAAAGUAAAUAUUCUAACCACAAUUUAAAGCAGCUUUAUAAAAUUACAAGAGAAGGAAAAUGUCAAAGAUCAUAAUAUAAGUUAAACAUGCAUAGAUUGUAUGAAAUCCCCAACCAGAAACUAGAUGUGCCAAACCUUGUAUUUGCAUACUCAAUGCAUUAAUAAGAGACAAAAAGAGUGAGGUAAACAGUAUUCUUUAUAAGACGCCUCUUCUAAUGAUGAAUAACCAUUGCUAAGGUCCUGAAUUUUCCCUCAUGUCACAUCAGAAAAAAAAAAUGAUCUCUGAAGAAAACUCACCAACCUAGGAAAAAAAAAUGAUCUCUGAAGAAAACUCACCAACCUAGGAAAAGGCAAAUUACCUAACAGAUAAGGAUUGAGGCAGAUUUCAGGUGAGAUCCAUUUUCCCAAACAGCAACGUCCAAACAAUAUUUAUUCCUUGAGAAGAGAUAACCUAGAUAAUGGAUCUUACCUCGUAUAUUGAAGAAAUCAUAGAGCAGUAAUUCCUAUGCAGAGAGACCUUAAAUUUAGAUCAAGCUUUCAUUACCAUCCAGAAGUCUGAAACUAGAAUAGCAACGAUAAAAAGAAAGAACUUGACAGUGAAAGUUUACUUUUAAACUCAGUCAGAAUGAAGAGAUAUUUAAUAAAUUUUGGUAACUGUGAUCGAUAAGUACCCAUAUUUUUGCUUCUCAAUCUGAUAUUAACAGAAAAAACCUAGGGCCCCUGCUGCAUUACCUGAAAAAUAAAGAAAAUAUCAAGAUUCCUUAGGAUGAAGUAAGCCUUCAAAAUAAUUGUUCAAUGAAUUGUGGAUUAAGAUUUAUGUGCAGUGAUUAUACCAAAACGUAUCAUGAAAUAAUUUAAAAGGUGAAUUUCGCAUUCAUUGUCACUCAAAUCUUUGUGGACAGAGCUGUAUAUGAAAAUAUAAAAAAUUACCUAAAAAGAACGAGAAUUGAUGGAAAAUGCGGCAUUCGAGGGGAUAUAUGAUAUAUUUAGGCAAUAAGCUUCAACAGGCAAGUUCUAAAAAUUGUUGCAAUGGGAGAAUUGACACUAACAGAAAGUGGAAUGACGAAGAAGAGAGGUUGCUAGGCAAGAAGUACUGCCUUAUAGACCCAACUUGUACAAAGGAAUAAUCAGCAAUGCAGUAGAAAAUAGAGAACAUUCAACCAUUAAUUAGUUUUACCUUUAAGAUAAUAAGAGUAAGAUUUGGUACAACAGACACAAGGCCCGUCGGAUGUCAGUCAUUAUUCUUGAUCACCAGUCACAACCACUAAAUAAAAGGGUUAAACGUGCACGAGAGAGAGAGAUGGACAGAGAAGAGUGGGGUGAGGGAAACAAUAUAGGAAGUAAUCUAAUUCUAGAAAAUAUGAUAGAUACAAAAGCAAGGCAUUCAAGAAAAGGAUGAUAACAUUCUAAUACUUAAUAGAAAUGGAUGUCUACCAUUAAAUACCCUAAAAGAUGCACUAUUUUAGGAUUGUGCAGUGACAUUUCAGAAGCAAUGGUGGUGGUGUAAAUAUUGUGUUCAUUCAUAGUUAGAAAUAUAACCAUCAAGAUUAUGCUCCAUCAUUUUUCCAAUUUGCUAUCACAUAAUAUAUGAACAUAAAUGCACCACUUGAUACUUGACAGAUACAUGAAACAUAAAAAUUUAUAAUGCAGCAACAGAAAGAACAAAGAGAACAAUAAGCCUAAGAAAAUAUACAUAAAUUACGAAAAUUGUUGCCAACAGUGUACAUUGAAGUGUGGGUAGGAGGCACACUCGUACAGACAAACAAACAGUUGUCCAAAUCUUUUUUUGUUUUUAUUACUUUUCAUUUUCAAUAAGUACUCUGUCCAUUCUCAAUACCUAAACCGUACAACACACCGGAAUACUUUUCCAAAGAGCCACUAAAGAAAUUCUCUUUCAAUUUCCUGAAUGUACAAGAUGUGAGCAAACUGUCUGAACCCGCUUGAUGACAAAUCCCAACUCUUUCUACUUCCAACAACUCUGCAAGCUUGUUCAAUCCACCGUGCAGACUGUUGCAAAACUUCAUCAAAUGCUUGAUAUCAUAAAGGGUAGGAAAGUAAAUAUUGAUCAAACUAAAGAACUCAACUUGUGUAUCUGGCAAAUUCUGGCAAGUCAAGAGCUUAAGCAAGUACCCAAAAUCAUAGCCACUAUGGAAAGUAACCCAAUGCACACUAUCAUUCAAAACAAUCCCUGAAGACAUCAAAAGCUCACCAAACCUCAUUGCAUCAAUGCCCUUCUCAUUGUUUUUCUUGAAAUCAAUUCCACUUUGCCUCAAAAGCUCAAUGGAAUCAUUAGCAAACACAUCCUCAUUGACAUUAAACUCGCAGAAAUUGAAUUGCCAAAUGCAAUACUUAUCAGUUCCACAAGUAGGCAAGUUUCCUUGGUCGUCGGAAAGCGUAAGACCCAAUUGAAUCAACUUUAACAUAUCGACAUUGUCUUUCAAAGUUUGGUAGUGGAAGUCAUAGCUGUUCUUGAAAUUGCCCACGGGGCGCAACACAAUGCCUGGAAACUCGGUGUCCAUGGCAACGAAGGGGUAGUCAUCAACUAUUUCACGAAUCAAAGCGAAUUCUUCCUCAAGGUUAUCGUUCCAGACCUCACGGAUUUGGAUUGAAUCGCUCUUUGGCAACAAAGACAUCACUUGAAAAACCAAAAACAAAAAAAAAACUAAUUUCUUUUUCAACCAAUAACAACCCAAGAAGACAAAGAUUCCUAGAUUACCACGAA
RNAcentral lists this long non-coding RNA (6624 nucleotides) under Theobroma cacao (cacao). Its description in RNAcentral is "long non-coding RNA (TCAC_LNC003687)". The record is from RNAcentral. Lineage: Eukaryota; Viridiplantae; Streptophyta; Magnoliopsida; Malvales; Malvaceae.